AAUAGAUACCAGGUAGUCCACGCCGUAAACGAUGAAUACUAGGUGUAGGGGUUGUCAUGACCUCUGUGCCGCCGCUAACGCAUUAAGUAUUCCGCCUGGGGAGUACGGUCGCAAGAUUAAAACUCAAAGGAAUUGACGGGGGCCCGCACAAGCAGCGGAGCAUGUGGUUUAAUUCGAAGCAACGCGAAGAACCUUACCUAGACUUGACAUCUCCUGAAUUACCCUUAAUCGGGGAAGUUCCUUCGGGAACAGGAAGACAGGUGGUGCAUGGUUGUCGUCAGCUCGUGUCGUGAGAUGUUGGGUUAAGUCCCGCAACGAGCGCAACCCUUAUUGUUAGUUGCUACCAUUUAGUUGAGCACUCUAGCGAGACUGCCCGGGUUAACCGGGAGGAAGGUGGGGAUGGCGUCAAAGUCAUCAUGCCCCUUAUGUCUAGGGCUACACACGUGCUACAAUGGCCGGUACAAAGAGAUGCAAUACCGCAAGGUGGAGCUAAACUAUAAAACCGGUCUCAGUUCGAUUGCAGCUGAAACUGCCUGCA
This 538-nucleotide ribosomal RNA is filed under the name uncultured bacterium. RNAcentral's name for it is "bacterial SSU rRNA". It matches the Rfam family "Bacterial small subunit ribosomal RNA", at positions 777 to 1320 of the family's 1533-position model. The record is from RNAcentral.